Molecule: long non-coding RNA, 2002 nt
Organism: Oncorhynchus tshawytscha (Chinook salmon)
Lineage: Eukaryota; Metazoa; Chordata; Actinopteri; Salmoniformes; Salmonidae
Source: Ensembl
GUGGAAGCAGUCAGUAUAGUUUUACCAUAAAAUGACAUUUCACUCAUCAAGAUGAAAGAGGUUGAGGAUUAGGCGCGCAGUAUCGAAGUAGGCUAGCUAGCUACUUAAAUGCAUAUGAAAUGUGUGCAGCACCACCCCAUGUCGCCCGGGAAGCGUUUAUGCGCAAGCCCAGAGCAAUCCAAUUAUUGACAUUGAAGCCAGUGAAUCCCAGCUAACCUAAUUCGAGCCAACUCAAUUGUGCCUCUGUGUCCUGGAUAGGUAGCCUCUCCAUCUCAGGUCUUGGGGAUGGGGAUGCGGUUGCAGCUUCAGUGUCUGCAGCUGGACUCCGUACGGAGUGUCCUGGAGGCAGUGAUCCGGAGGAGCUUUGGUCUUGAUGGAGUACAGGAUGGUGGUGGAGUGUGUGAGGAGACACAGCUCGGUGACAGGAGAUGGCUCCCAGACCUUCGUCCUGCUGCUCGCCUCAUUGCAACGGGAGAUACAGAAACACACCCGAAAAGCCCCCUGGGAAGGUGCCAAGUGUUUGGCUGAAGCUCUGCUGGCCUUCGCAUUGGACGAGCUCAGUGAUGUUAUCACUGUUGGAGUGGCUCCACCUGGCUCCUCCCUUUCAGACACACACACCCCAGGACAGACAGAUACACCUACUCAGUGCUUUCCUUCACACCCGGAUCAGCCCUACUCAUGCGGAAAUCUAAGCUAAUAUAGGGAUAGAAAGUGUGUGUGUGUGAUCAGGGCGGGUGUUAGACAGUGUGUGUGUCACCCUACAGCAUCUAGGAGUGUCUCUGCUCCUCUCAUCAGUCAGACAGUCGGAGGCCUUCCUGGCUGCAGUGGGGAGGUACGGUGUGUGUGUGUUAGAGUGUGUGUGAAGACGACCUUACCUUGUUCUCUGUGCUCAGUGGAGCCCAGCCUGUCUCAGACUGGGCCGUGAUUGGACAGGAACAUGUUGCUACGGUGACCUUCUGCCGGCCGCUGGUGCUGGGAGCUCACAGGUUCGUCAAUGUGGGGUUUCCUAAGGCAGAGGACAGGGGCAGACCCCACAGUCUGCUUGUGUGUGGACAGACAGAGGGCCAGGCGGAACAGAGUGUAUGUGCUGUACGAGAUGCUCUACACAUGCUGCAUACUACUACCUGGGGGCCCAAACACAGGACUGGAGCUACAGAAAGAACCGCUUACACACACACAGACACACACACAAACACACACACAGACGUGAUGGAGCCUUGUUGUGUAAUUUCCGUGGGCAGGACUUUUGACUUCCUGUUACACCACACCCUCCAUCAAACACAGACACGCACACUCCGUCAAACACAGACACGCACACUCCGUCAAACACAGACAUGCACACUCCGUCAAACACAGACACGCACACUCCGUCAAACACAGACACGCACACUCCGUCAAACACAGACACGCACACUCCGUCAAACACAGACACGCACACUCCGUCAAACACAGACACGCACACUCCGUCACACUUGGACACCCCUGCCGCCUCGGGGAUGUUAGCAGAGGCCCUACUGAGUGUGCCCAGACAGAUCUACUCCCACAAUCCUCGGCGCUACCUUGAGGCUCUCGCACACACUCUCAGCUGCAUACGUAACCAUGGUAACUCUCCGGACCCGCUGGAGACAGUGCUGUUCUGGUAGUGGAUGGUUCUAAUAUGGUCCAGGCUGACACUAGGUCAAGGUCUGGGUCAGGGGUAAAGGAGAUGACAGUUUGGUCAAGCUCUGGCUCUAGUUCAGGUGUGGAGUCAGUGUCCUGUAUGUAUCAUCUGAUCCUGGCUGUUCUACAGUGUCUCAGGAGUCUAGUGUCUGUGGACACUGUACUACACGCUAAUACCUCACACACCUGUCAGAGAGAAGAGGAGGAGGGUGACGACUGAGAACUCAUACUUGAUUUUAUUUCAUUGUUCAUCCAAAAGUUUUGUAUUCAAUUCUUGAAAAAGUAUCUCCUUGUGUAGUAUGUCUUUGCAUAUGAAUUUCUAUGUUAAUAAAUCCGAUUUGAU